RNAcentral lists this ribosomal RNA (253 nucleotides) under uncultured bacterium. RNAcentral describes it as "partial 16S ribosomal RNA". It matches the Rfam family "Bacterial small subunit ribosomal RNA", at positions 524 to 776 of the family's 1533-position model. The record is from RNAcentral.
UACGUAGGGUGCAAGCGUUGUCCGGAAUUAUUGGGCGUAAAGAGCUUGUAGGCGGUUUGUCGCGUCUGCCGUGAAAAUCCGGGGCUCAACCCCGGACUUGCGGUGGGUACGGGCAGACUAGAGUGUGGUAGGGGAGACUGGAAUUCCUGGUGUAGCGGUGAAAUGCGCAGAUAUCAGGAGGAACACCGGUGGCGAAGGCGGGUCUCUGGGCAGUAACUGACGCUGAGGAGCGAAAGCGUGGGGAGCGAACAGG